This 1444-nucleotide ribosomal RNA is filed under the name uncultured Mollicutes bacterium. RNAcentral's name for it is "bacterial SSU rRNA". It matches the Rfam family "Bacterial small subunit ribosomal RNA". The record is from RNAcentral. Lineage: Bacteria; Bacillati; Mycoplasmatota; Mollicutes.
GAUGAACGCUGGCGGCGUGCCUAAUACAUGCAAGUCGAACGAAUCACUUCGGUGGUUAGUGGCGAACGGGUGAGUAACACGUAGGUAAUCUGCCCUUCAGACGAGGAUAACGGUUGGAAACGACCGCUAAUACUGGAUAGUACAUCUUGUCGCAUGACGGGAUGUUUAAAGUUCCGUGCGGAACACUGAAGGAGGAGCCUGCGGCGCAUUAGUUAGUUGGCGGGGUAACAGCCCACCAAGACGAUGAUGCGUAGCCGGACUGAGAGGUUGAACGGCCACAUUGGGACUGAGACACGGCCCAGACUCCUACGGGAGGCAGCAGUAGGGAAUUUUCGGCAAUGGGGGAAACCCUGACCGAGCAACGCCGCGUGAAUGAUGAAGUAUUUCGGUAUGUAAAAUUCUUUUAUAGAGGACGAAUGUUACUAAUAGGAAAUGAUUAGUAAGUGACGGUACUUUAUGAAUAAGCCCCGGCUAACUAUGUGCCAGCAGCCGCGGUAAUACAUAGGGGGCAAGCGUUAUCCGGAAUUAUUGGGCGUAAAGGGUGCGUAGGCGGCAUAUUAAGUCUGAGGUGAAAGUGCGGGGCUCAACCCCGUGAUGCCUUGGAAACUGAUAAGCUAGAGUGUGGUAGAGGCAAGUGGAACUCCAUGUGUAGCGGUAAAAUGCGUAAAUAUAUGGAAGAACACCAGUGGCGAAGGCGGCUUGCUAGGCCAUUACUGACGCUGAGGCACGAAAGCGUGGGGAGCAAACAGGAUUAGAUACCCUGGUAGUCCACGCCGUAAACGAUGAGUACUAAGUGUUGGUGAAAAUCAGUGCUGAAGUUAACGCAUUAAGUACUCCGCCUGAGUAGUACGUACGCAAGUAUGAAACUUAAAGGAAUUGACGGGAGCCCGCACAAGCGGUGGAGCAUGUUGUUUAAUUCGAGGAUACGCGAAGAACCUUACCAGGUCUUGACAUCCGAUGCAAAACUAUGGAGACAUAGCGGAGGUUAACAUCGAGACAGGUGGUGCAUGGUUGUCGUCAGCUCGUGUCGUGAGAUGUUGGGUUAAGUCCCGCAACGAGCGCAACCCUCGUCGUUAGUUACCAUCAUUAAGUUGGGGACUCUAGCGAUACUGCCAGUGAUAAACUGGAGGAAGGUGGGGAUGACGUCAAAUCAUCAUGCCCUUUAUGGCCUGGGCUACAAACGUGCUACAAUGGAUACUACAGAGAGAAGCCAAGCCGCGAGGUGGAGCAAACCUCACAAAAGUAUUCUCAGUUCGGAUUGAAGUCUGCAACUCGACUUCAUGAAGUUGGAAUCGCUAGUAAUCGCGAAUCAGAACGUCGCGGUGAAUACGUUCUCGGGCUUUGUACACACCGCCCGUCAAACCAUGAGAGCUUGUAAUACCCGAAACCGGUGGCCUAACCGCAAGGAGGGAGCCGUCUAAGGUAGGACAAGUGAUUGGGGUUA